GUGCCAGCAGCCGCGGUAAUACCAGCCCCGCGAGUGGUUGGGACGUUUACUAGGCCUAAAGCGCCUGUAGCCGGCCCUGUAAGUCCCUCCCUAAAGGCCCGGGCUCAACCCGGGAACCGGGAGGGAUACUGCAGGGCUAGGGGGCGGGAGAGGCGGGGGGUACUCCCGGAGUAGGGGCGAAAUCCGUAGAUCCCGGGAGGACCACCAGUGGCGAAGGCGCCCCGCUAGAACGCGCCCGACGGUGAGAGGCGAAAGCCGGGGCAGCAAAAGGGAUUAGAUACCCCUGUAGUCCCGGCUGUAAACGAUGCCGGCUAGGUGUCGCGUGGGCUUAGAGCCCACGCGGUGCCGCAGGGAAGCCGUUAAGCCGGCCGCCUGGGGAGUACGGCCGCAAGGCUGAAACUUAAAGGAAUAGGCGGGGGAGCACCACAAGGGGUGGAACCUGCGGCUCAAUUGGAGUCAACACCUGGAAGCUUACCGGGGGAGACCGCAGGAUGACGGCCAGGCUAACGACCUUGCCUGACUCGCGGAGAGGAGGUGCAUGGCCGUCGCCAGUUCGUGUUGUGAAAUGUCCGGUUAAGUCCGGCAACGAGCGAGACCCCCACCCCUAGUUGGUACCCUGGCCCCCGGGCCAGGGCCACACUAGGGGGACUGCCGCCGUAAGGCGGAGGAAGGAGGGGGCCACGGCAGGUCAGCAUGCCCCGAAACCCCCGGGCCGCACGCGGGUUACAAUGGCAGGGACAGCGGGAUCCUGCCCCGAGAGGGGUGGGCAAUCCCUAAACCCUGCCUCAGUUGGGAUCGAGGGCUGCAACUCGCCCUCGUGAACGAGGAAUCCCUAGUAACCGCAGGUCACCAACCUGCGGUGAAUACGUCCCUGCUCCUUGCACACACCGCCCGUC
This 896-nucleotide ribosomal RNA is filed under the name uncultured archaeon. RNAcentral's name for it is "SSU rRNA". It matches the Rfam family "Archaeal small subunit ribosomal RNA", at positions 455 to 1354 of the family's 1478-position model. The record is from RNAcentral.